RNAcentral lists this ribosomal RNA (253 nucleotides) under uncultured Sphingomonas sp. RNAcentral's name for it is "partial 16S ribosomal RNA". It matches the Rfam family "Bacterial small subunit ribosomal RNA", at positions 524 to 776 of the family's 1533-position model. Lineage: Bacteria; Pseudomonadati; Pseudomonadota; Alphaproteobacteria; Sphingomonadales; Sphingomonadaceae. The record is from RNAcentral.
UACGGAGGGAGCUAGCGUUGUUCGGAAUUACUGGGCGUAAAGCGCACGUAGGCGGCUUUGUAAGUUAGAGGUGAAAGCCUGGAGCUCAACUCCAGAACUGCCUUUAAGACUGCAUCGCUUGAAUCCAGGAGAGGUGAGUGGAAUUCCGAGUGUAGAGGUGAAAUUCGUAGAUAUUCCGAAGAACACCAGUGGCGGAGGCGGCUCACUGGACUGGUAUUGACGCUGAGGUGCGAAAGCGUGGGGAGCAAACAGG